UCAAACUUGGUCAUUUAGAGGAAGUAAAAGUCGUAACAAGGUUUCCGUAGGUGAACCUGCGGAAGGAUCAUUACAAAUCCAUCACGUCUUCUUACCCAAGACACCGUUGAACUGUUUGGUGCGCAUGUGUGGGUGCGCGCGCGUGGUGGUGGUGAGAUGCGCUCGUCGCGUCUUGCUGCCGCUCGUGCGUGCCGUGCUCCUCCGUGCCACCGCCCCCUUUACACAACCUAGCGUGACCUUUGUUGCAUUUGUAUUUGUGUUAUCACACACAUGAAAACACACACACAACUUAUAACAAUGGAUCUCUAGGCUCUUGCAUCGAUGAAGAACGCAGC
Molecule: unclassified non-coding RNA, 335 nt
Filed under: uncultured fungus
Lineage: Eukaryota; Fungi
Description: partial contains small subunit ribosomal RNA, internal transcribed spacer 1, and 5.8S ribosomal RNA
Rfam family: Eukaryotic small subunit ribosomal RNA (bases 1-73)
Source: RNAcentral